RNAcentral lists this ribosomal RNA (263 nucleotides) under uncultured bacterium. Its description in RNAcentral is "partial 16S ribosomal RNA". It matches the Rfam family "Bacterial small subunit ribosomal RNA", at positions 793 to 1055 of the family's 1533-position model. The record is from RNAcentral.
GUCCACGCCCUAAACGAUGUCAACUGGUUGUUGGGAGGGUUUCUUCUCAGUAACGAAGCUAACGCGUGAAGUUGACCGCCUGGGGAGUACGGCCGCAAGGUUGAACUCAAAGGAAUUGACGGGGACCCGCACAAGCGGUGGAUGAUGUGGUUUAAUUCGAUGCAACGCGAAAACCUUACCUACCCUUGACAUGUCUGGAAUCCUGAAGAGAUUUGGGAGUGCUCGCAAAGAGAACCAGAACACAGGUGCUGCAUGGCCGUCGU